AUUGAACGCUGGCGGCAUGCUUUACACAUGCAAGUCGAGCGGCAGCGCGGGGGCAACCCUGGCGGCGAGCGGCGAACGGGUGAGUAAUGCAUCGGAACGUAUCCUCGAGUGGGGGAUAACCCAGAGAAAGUUGGGCUAAUACCGCAUGAGCUCUGAGGAGGAAAGCGGGGGACCUGCGAGGGCCUCGCGCUGGAGGAGCGGCCGAUGUCCGAUUAGCUAGUUGGUGGGGUAAAGGCUUACCAAGGCGACGAUCGGUAGCUGGUCUGAGAGGAUGAUCAGCCACACUGGGACUGAGACACGGCCCAGACUCCUACGGGAGGCAGCAGUGGGGAAUUUUGGACAAUGGGGGCAACCCUGAUCCAGCCAUGCCGCGUGAGUGAAGAAGGCCUUCGGGUUGUAAAGCUCUUUCGGACGGAACGAAAUGGGCGGGACUAAUACUCCUGUCUGAUGACGGUACCGUAAGAAGAAGCACCGGCUAACUACGUG
This 486-nucleotide ribosomal RNA is filed under the name uncultured bacterium. RNAcentral describes it as "partial 16S ribosomal RNA". It matches the Rfam family "Bacterial small subunit ribosomal RNA", at positions 29 to 507 of the family's 1533-position model. The record is from RNAcentral.